RNAcentral lists this small nuclear RNA (123 nucleotides) under Saimiri boliviensis boliviensis (Bolivian squirrel monkey). Its description in RNAcentral is "U4 spliceosomal RNA (ENSSBOG00000016514.1)". It matches the Rfam family "U4 spliceosomal RNA". Rfam says of the family: U4 small nuclear RNA (U4 snRNA) is a component of the major U2-dependent spliceosome. The structure of U4 snRNA from yeast and human has been reported. U4 snRNA presents a k-turn RNA motif in the 5p-SL related to recognition of Snu13 protein. The record is from Rfam by way of RNAcentral. Lineage: Eukaryota; Metazoa; Chordata; Mammalia; Primates; Cebidae.
AGCUUUGUGCAGUGGCAGUAUCGUAGCCAAUGAAGUUUAUCUGAGGUGUGAUUAUUGCUACUUGAAAACUUUUCAGAAUUGAUUGUACUUUCCCUAAAGUACCUCAGGAACAAUACCACUAUG